UUUCCGUAGGUGAACCUGCGGAAGGAUCAUUAUUGUAUAACCGAGGUGCGAGGGCUGUCGCUGACCCGAAAGGUCGUGCACGCCCGAGUGCCCUCACACAUCCAUCUCACCCCUAUGUGCACCACCGCGUGGGUCCCCCUUUGGCUUGUUCGGAGGGGGGCUUACGUUUUCACACAAACUUUGUAUGCAGUGUAGAAUGUAUUUUUUAUUUUUGCGAUCACGCAAUCAAUACAACUUUCAACAACGGAUCUCUUGGCUCUC
This 261-nucleotide unclassified non-coding RNA is filed under the name plant metagenome. Its description in RNAcentral is "partial contains small subunit ribosomal RNA, internal transcribed spacer 1, and 5.8S ribosomal RNA". The record is from RNAcentral.